AUUGAACGCUGGCGGAAUGCUUUACACAUGCAAGUCGAACGGCAGCGCGGACUUCGGUCUGGUGGCGAGUGGCGAACGGGUGAGUAAUGUAUCGGAACGUGCCCAGUCGUGGGGGAUAACGUAGUGAAAAUUACGCUAAUACCGCAUACGAUCUAUGGAUGAAAGCGGGGGAUCGCAAGACCUCGCGCGAUUGGAGCGGCCGAUAUCAGAUUAGGUAGGUGGUGGGGUAAAGGCCCACCAAGCCAACGAUCUGUAGCUGGUCUGAGAGGACGACCAGCCACACUGGAACUGAGACACGGUCCAGGCUCCUACGGGAGGCAGCAGUGGGGGAUUUUGGACAAUGGGCGAAAGCCUGAUCCAGCCAUUCCGCGUGCAGGAUGAAGGCCCUCGGGUUGUAAACUGCUUUUGUACAGAACGAAAAGGUUUCUACUAAUACUAGGAGCUCAUGACGGUACUGUAAGAAUAAGCACCGGCUAACUACGUGCCAGCCGCCGCCGUAA
RNAcentral lists this ribosomal RNA (500 nucleotides) under uncultured bacterium. Its description in RNAcentral is "partial 16S ribosomal RNA". It matches the Rfam family "Bacterial small subunit ribosomal RNA", at positions 30 to 523 of the family's 1533-position model. The record is from RNAcentral.